GCUGGGUCAAAUGGUAUUUCUAAAAGAACUAAGAAUUUUUAAAAAGAUUUUGGUUAUGUAAUUAGAGUGCACAAUAGAAUAAAACAGCCAGGUUAAAAAAAAAAGAGACAUGCGGCUUCAUCCACAAGCUUAGCAAAAUAUGAGAAAGUAAGAAACUGUGGCCAAAUCAGAUAAACAUAAAUGAGAAUAAGUUGUAGAAACUGACCUUCAAGUUAAUAAUUAAAUCAGAUGGUAUCAUUUUCCUCCAUCUGGUUAUUAUUGUUUAGAUUUUUAAUAGUACAAAAAUAAAUGUUUUAUGAAUUAUUUUGGAUGCAAUUACAGUAAAUAACCAUAAUAUAAAAUGUCUCAUAAUAGGAAAAUAAUGCCUGACACUUUUAAUUACUUAACAUACCUUUUUAUACAUUUUUUAAUGUCAUUUAUUUGGCAGCUAUUUAAGGAGUGCCCUCUGUAUCCUGGGCCAUCUCUUUCUAUCCAGAGUCCUACAAGUCACCUUGUAUCAUUAUUAGGAUAUAGUAUAAAAAUUUGUCCACUUUUAAAUGGAGAAAUAAUACAGAUAAGUAAAAAAAUGAUGUAAUAAUUUGAGUUCUGUACAUGACUCAGAGACUUGGACAGAAUUGACAAUUCUAAGUUUUUAAGUUAAACCAAAGCUGAAAUUUCUAAUCAUUUAGAAGCUAGGAAAAGUUCUGUUUCAAAUUCAAUUGAUCACUUCAUGAACAGUUUGUUCAUAAUUACUUCUUCUCUGCCUUUCAGCGUAGUCUUGUUCAAUUGUUCAGAGUGUCCUUUUUUUUUUUUUUUUUUUUUUUUGAGACAGAGUCUCACUCUUUUGCCCAGGCCGGACUGCAGUGGCACUAUCUCCGCUCACUGCAAGUUCCACCUCCUGGGGUCACGCCAUUCUCCUGCCUCAGCCUCCCGAGUAGCUGGGAGUACAGGCGCCCGCCACCACGCCCGGCUAAUUUUUUGUAUUUUUAGUAGAGACGGGGUUUCACCUUGUUAGCCAGGAUGCUCUCGAUCUCCUGACCUCGUGAUCCUCCCGCCUCGGCCUCACAAAGUGCUGGGAUUACAUGCGUGAGCCACCGCGCCGGGCCCAGAGUGUCCUUAUUCCCAAGUUCGUGAUUUUCAUAAUAGUAAGAGAACAAAAAACAAAUCUUACAAGCAAUAAAUUUUAUAAAUAGUCUUCUCUUAAGAUGCAGAACACCAACAUGGCACAUGUAUACAUAUGUAACAAACCUGCACGUUAUGCACAUGUACCCUAAAACUUAAAGUAUAAUAAAAAUAAACAAAUAAAUAAAUAUUCAACACCUCACUCUAAUUGGAAAGGAAAUGUGCCUACAGAAGUUAAAGCACAUUCUAUGAGUUUUAAUCUUAGGUGCCAAGAAGGAUCCAUGACCUCCACAUUUGACAGAGAAUAGAAAGACUCCACGGUUUUCAUCAUAAUCCAAGGGAGGUCAGUAAUAGUUUAUUUGCAUUUCUCGAGGGCUCUCUGGGGCCUCACUAUCUUACAUAAAAGUGAGUUUAAUCAUAGGACUUUCAGACAUUAGCCCACAGAUGGGACAUAUAUUUUGGGAUGGAGAACUUUUAAUAAAUCACAUUACCUAGGUGGCCUCUCAUUCUACUUCUCCAUAUGGCAGACUCUGUAGGAAAAAAAAAUGCUUCCUAUAAUGUUUCUUCUUUACCACAGAACUGUCAGAGGAAACAGCCGAGAAAAACUUAAAACUAAGCUACAAUAUUUGGCAAAAAUAAUGGUAGUUUUCAGAGGAGAAGCAAUUUUUCUGGCGUAUAUGUAGGAUAAGAGUAUCUUACCUUCCUUAAAUAAUGUUAUCUUUACCAGUAAACAUGAUGUAUUUGCCUUAACCUAGUCAAUUUCCUUUACCUGAAUUCCCUUAAGUUUAAAAUCAUAAUUUUUCAAGAUAAGGUUCUAGUCUUAGGAAUGUUGCUUAAGAACCUGAAAUAGAAUGAUACUAUUAUUUCAUCCUGGUAUUAAAAUCUCUAAAAUUUUCUACAAAACUAACAUUCUAUGUGUUCUGUGGCCAAUGUGAUAAUAAAUCCUUGCAUAACAACAGAGAAAAAUAUCCUAUACAUUUGUCUUACAUUUUUGCAAAAUAAAGAAAAUAUUUUGGAAUUAAACUAAUUUCAAAAUCCAAGAAUUUCUAUGAAAGAAUUUUUUAGCAGUAACCACAGAUGAAAAGAAUAUCAUUUAGUAUCUCUUCAUAGUGUCUUUAUAACAUAAUCUAAUCAUUGGUGUUUUAUAAUCUUUCAUAAUUUUUCAUAUAUUUGAUAAAUCCUGAUGUUGGGUUUAUUUCUGUUGAAACACCAGUAAUUGUUUUAUGUCACUUUGACUUUUUUCUAUAGUUUUGUUUUCUGCUUGUUUAUCUAAAUUAUCAUCAUAGUUGUAAUCUGAGAACUAGGCAAACAUAGGUACUUUUGACUAUCACUUUGGGGUGAUACUAUUUACCCAAUAUGAUUUUUUCCCAUUUUACUCUUGAAGUAUCCUGUUGCUUACUCUUUUGUGUAUGCAUACAUUUGAAACAUAUGACCUCCCAAGCAUUCUACUUUCUCUUAUUUUACUUAUUGUGUUGGCUUUACUGUUUAUGUAUGAUUUAACAUAAAUAAUUAUUUUGUUUUCUCUCUCCCAUCACCCACCCCAUUUACACGUUACAACAAGACUUCAUCAGCCCUGGGGUCAUGAUUUGAAUUAUAUUAUCUGUGCCAUUAAACAACCUUGAGCCUCAAUAAUAUCUGUUCAGAUUUUUUCAAUGGCUAUUGUUCAUUGAUAAUUACAUUCUGGGGACAUGCCAGAAUGAAAUCUCAUGGUUUCUCAGCCACAAAGAUUUGUUAAGAAUCAAAUUCAAAGGUAUUUGACUUGGUAUUUAUGAUUCAUGGCAAACCCAAGCAUAAUCUUUAGCAGAUCUUUAAGCUUCCUGAGCUUAUAAGCAAACUCUGUGUGUGUCUGUGUGUAUGUGUGUGUGUUCCUAUGUGGGUAAAUUUUUCUUGAUAGCAUCUCUGUGCUUUCAUCAUUAUCAAAAAGUUUCAGGACCCCAAAAUGGUUAAGAAACACUGACUAUGUGCUAGUUACAUUUCAAGAAUAUAUUUCUACAUAAAAAUGUUGUAUUUAUUCUAAAGGCAAAAGCCAUGGAACAAUGUGUACUUUUAAAAUAUUUAUGAGGAAUUAAAAAUUCAAUUAUUAUAAUUUUUCCAUUUUAAAAUUUUAGGAUGUGAUUUUGUAAUAGCCUCCAAAAAACAUUUAAAGCACCCAAGUAAUUAAACUAGUAAAAGUUCCUUAUAAACCAGAAAGCAAAACUAUUUUCCAAAUGGGCAAUAAAAAUAUUACUUUUGCAUGUAAAUAGUUGUUUAAGUGAAUUUAUUGUUUAUAUUAAUUAAAUUCUUUUGGACAAUUUGCCACUUAAAAAGAUCAGUGUUUGAACUCUAGGAAAUACUUGUUUAUGUAAUUUUUUUUGCAAGUAGGUAAGAAAAGUAUAUUUCAUUAUCAAAUAGCUACCCUGCAAUACUAACAUAAACAGCUAUUUACCCAUUUAGACUUAACUAUUCAGUCAAUUACACAACAGUCUUACCAUGUUAUUUAAUGAGUGGAACAAAAAUAAAGGUCUUUAUAACAGAUAAAAUAUUUCAUUUAUAUAAUGAAAUAAAAUAUCUUGGGAUUAAUAAAAAUAAUGAUUUUUUUCAUCCUAUGUAAAAUGUAGUUGAUAGCACUGAUAUAUUAAUAAUGUUAUGGGUGAAGUUUACAGUUCAUUACAAGUUGAAUGUACUUAAACAAUCUACAUCCUUCACUCCUUCAUUCAAUCAUUUAAUUCAGCCAUUCCUUAUUUGACAAAUGUGAUUUGUCAAAUCACAUUACUAAAUGUAUUAUACAUUUAGUAAUAACCAUACAUAUCAUGUUGAAUUGUUGUGAGG
This 3909-nucleotide long non-coding RNA is filed under the name Homo sapiens (human). Its description in RNAcentral is "HSALNT0192378". The record is from RNAcentral. Lineage: Eukaryota; Metazoa; Chordata; Mammalia; Primates; Hominidae.